RNAcentral lists this ribosomal RNA (369 nucleotides) under Triticum aestivum (bread wheat). Its description in RNAcentral is "partial small subunit ribosomal RNA". Lineage: Eukaryota; Viridiplantae; Streptophyta; Magnoliopsida; Poales; Poaceae. The record is from RNAcentral.
AUGGCCCUCACUGUCGGGGUACUGGCAGCGAUAGGAGCCCUGGUACUACUGCACACCAAGCACAACACAUCACACACAGACAUCCUUCACCUGCAUCAGAAAGAAACAUGUGUUAAUUCAUCCCAUCUUCUGUUGCAGCUCUUGCUCCAGAACAAGGUUCAGAGGAAAGGGGUGAUCCGGCCUCUGGAACCAGAGAUCUACAUCCCAGGUGAGUGCCCAAGCAAAUUAACAAUUCUGGUGCUUCCUUCCUCUCCCUGCAGCUCCACUCCACUGCAGCGGAAGCCCGGUCCCUGCUGCUUCUUGUCCCUGACUCGGCUCUCCGCAGCUCCCGUCUCGCUGCUCCUUCUGACCGAACGAGGAGAGAAGUGA